GCUUAAACAUGCAAGUCGAGCGGAAAGGCCCCUCGGGGUACUCGAGCGGCGAACGGGUGAGUAACACGUGAGCAAUCUGCCUUUAGCUUUGGGAUAACCCUCGGAAACGGGGGCUAAUACCGAAUAUUCAUUGACUGUCGCAUGGCGGUUGAUAGAAAGUUUUUCGGCUAGAGAUGAGCUCGCGGCCUAUCAGCUUGUUGGUGGGGUAAUGGCCUACCAAGGCGACGACGGGUAGCCGGCCUGAGAGGGCGACCGGCCACACUGGGACUGAGACACGGCCCAGACUCCUACGGGAGGCAGCAGUGGGGAAUAUUGCACAAUGGGCGAAAGCCUGAUGCAGCGACGCCGCGUGAGGGAUGACGGCCUUCGGGUUGUAAACCUCUUUCAGCAGGGACGAAGCGCAAGUGACGGUACCUGCAGAAGAAGCGCCGGCCAACUACGUGCCAGCAGCCGCGGUAAGACGUAGGGCGCAAGCGUUGUCCGGAUUUAUUGGGCGUAAAGAGCUCGUAGGCGGCUUGUUGCGUCGACUGUGAAAACCCGCGGCUCAACCGUGUGGUCUGCAGUCGAUACGGGCAGGCUAGAGUUCGGUAGGGGAGACUGGAA
This 603-nucleotide ribosomal RNA is filed under the name uncultured earthworm cast bacterium. Its description in RNAcentral is "bacterial SSU rRNA". It matches the Rfam family "Bacterial small subunit ribosomal RNA", at positions 46 to 666 of the family's 1533-position model. The record is from RNAcentral.